RNAcentral lists this ribosomal RNA (478 nucleotides) under uncultured bacterium. Its description in RNAcentral is "bacterial SSU rRNA". It matches the Rfam family "Bacterial small subunit ribosomal RNA", at positions 28 to 523 of the family's 1533-position model. The record is from RNAcentral.
GACGAACGCUGGCGGCGUGCUUAACACAUGCAAGUCGAACGGUGAAGGGAAGCUUGCUUCCCGGAUCAGUGGCGAACGGGUGAGUAACACGUGGGCAAUCUGCCCCAGACUUUGGGAUAACUACUCGAAAGAGUAGCUAAUACCGAAUAUUCAGCCUUGCAGGCAUCUGCGAGGCUGGAAAGUUUCUCGGUCUGGGAUGAGCCCGCGGCCUAUCAGCUAGUUGGCGAGGUAAUGGCUCACCAAGGCGACGACGGGUAGCCGGCCUGAGAGGGCGACCGGCCACACUGGGACUGAGACACGGCCCAGACUCCUACGGGAGGCAGCAGUGGGGAAUAUUGCGCAAUGGGCGAAAGCCUGACGCAGCAACGCCGCGUGCGGGAUGAAGGCCUCGGUUGUAACGCUUCAGCAGGAAGAAGCGAAAGUGACGGUACCUGCAGAAGAGGCACCGGCGUAACUACGUAGCCAGCAGCCGCGGUAA